CUCGCGAUCUCGUUUCGCAAGGGGGCGACGUCUCAUUCUCGCUGAUAACUCCACAGCAAAUCUCUGCCAUUUUCGAUAACCUCCUUAAGCUACCGGAGUAAAAUCCCUCGAGAAAUUAUCACCAGAGUAGCAAAACCUAAGCGAAAAGAUGAAGAAGAAGGUGCUCGCGCGCUCAUUAGCGAAGCUUUAAAAGGACUUCUAUGGACACCUUUUUACGUAGGGACUUGAAGGAGCGCCCCCCCCCCCCCCCCCCCCCCCCCUCUCUCUCUCUCUCUCUCUCUCUCUCUGCUUCCUUUUGGCCUGAUGGCCACGGUCAGCUGCCCGUUCCACAUCGGGCAGACCGGACAGGUACUGUAGUGGGUGACGCAGUGCUCUUCCGCCUAAAUGACCACAUCUGCGCCGUUGAUCUCUUUCCUUUGCUCUCUUUUUUUCCACAUCAUGAUCAAACACGUGUACCUGCCGCUUCCCAGUACUAAGGUACGUGGCCCAAUCGAAUUCCAACAACACGAUAAUUAGGGAACUUCCUUUCCUGACACGCAUGUGGCCCUCUCUCUCCUCCUCUCCUAGGCGUCGCCUCGUCUCUCUUUGAUUUUUCUUUUUUCUUUGAAAAAAAAAAUUCUUUUGUUUGUUUUAAAAUAAAUAAAUAAGGAAAUUUCAUUUAUUAUUUUUGGGGUUUAAAUUGAUUUUGAAAUCGACGCCACGUGUUCCACCUUAGAAUAAGGAAUGAGCCACUGUUUUUUAAAAAAAAUUCGAACUUUAUUCCCUUUGGGCCCUGUGGUCCAAUCAGACUCUUCUACGUAUCAGUUUCUUGAUUUUGACAUGUGGGCCCAGGUGUCUACUUCGUUGACGCCUAUAGAAUAUCUAAGCCGGGGUGGUCUGCUCCUUCCCUCCAUUUUCUCUUCUCUCCAUGAACACGUGUCUAAAUAAGGGAUGAGCUCCAUCGACCCGACCCGUAACACGUUUUGACCACAAGCCCCUCCCUAUACAACCAACCGUAUCUAGCCCGUGGCAAUGUCGGAUUUACCCCCCACUAACCGUAUCCUUUGAUAAAUAAUGAUGCGUAAUACUUUUUCAGUUGGGACAGCAGAGGAGAGCCGAAGAGACAUAAAAUAUAAUCACUCAAAGAAAAGGAUUUUUUAUUACACGUGUUGGAGAAGCACUGGACAACGUGGAUAGUAACAGAUAGGACAGUACGGUGGGGAGGAGAGAAGGGGGAAUGGGGUCUACAAAUGAAUAACAACAGAGGCCUUAGAUAGGCAUCCACGUGGAAAAUCUAGCUGGCUAGCAAUUGUACUAAUAACAGAAGCAUGAAAUUGACAGGAGACAGAGUUAGUGCCACGUGACGAUCGAGGCCACCACGACACAAAACAAAUCCAAAAGACUAAACCCAACCCAACCCAACCCAACACCCUGACUCGGUGGUUAAGUAGUAAACCCCAAGUACCCAAACCAUGGUCAGGUCAUCUUCGUCGUGUUGAAUGAAACCCUACUGCAACUCAAAUCUAAACCCAAAUCAUGGAGAAAUAUCAGGAGAGGGAGAGAGAGUGGUGGGGGGAAGUAGUGAUGGAAAGGGUGGACACGUGGAGAGAGGGGGUGAGAAAGAGAGCUGAGGGAAUUGGGAGGAUAGGGGGAAGGGAAAGGGGUACGUGUAAGAAAGAAGAAGGGAGGGAGUACAUAGGCAGGGAAGUACCGGAGUUUGAAUCACAUUUGGUGCAGUGACAUGUAGCAUUGCAUUAUGUGUUGCAUUUUUCAGUAUCGGCGUGUGUUCUGCAUCGAUCUGCAGGAAAAAUAUAUAUAUAUAUAUAUAUAUAAAUAUAUAAAUAUAUAUAAAAUAUAUAAAGGCAGACACAUAUUUUUCUAUGUUUUGAGUUUGACACAACCUACUGCUACGUUGUCCUCGUUCUGACACACCCGACUUCCACAUCAUCUUCAUCAUCAUCAAUCAUCUAUAUUCCGCUUCAUAUUUUUCC
This is a long non-coding RNA of Ziziphus jujuba (common jujube), 1970 nucleotides long. RefSeq lists it as uncharacterized. The record is from RefSeq and is a predicted model, not a curated record. NCBI's taxonomy places the organism in Eukaryota, Viridiplantae, Streptophyta, Magnoliopsida, Rosales, Rhamnaceae. The transcript is spliced from 2 exons.